CAAAAUGUAGCUUAACUAAAGCCCCUUGCUUACACCAAGAAAACGUCCGUGCAACUCAGACCAUUUUGA
Molecule: transfer RNA, 69 nt
Filed under: Ghatixalus variabilis (green tree frog)
Lineage: Eukaryota; Metazoa; Chordata; Amphibia; Anura; Rhacophoridae
Description: tRNA-Val
Source: RNAcentral